Molecule: long non-coding RNA, 209 nt
Filed under: Musa acuminata (dwarf banana)
Lineage: Eukaryota; Viridiplantae; Streptophyta; Magnoliopsida; Zingiberales; Musaceae
Description: long non-coding RNA (MACU_LNC008277)
Source: RNAcentral
GCCCCUCUCAAUUAGGACUCUCCUAGCUAGAGUCCUAAUAGAAUGUCCCUCUCAAUUAGGACUCUCCUAGCUAGAGUCCUAACAGUUUUACAUGAAUGUCCUUCUCAAUUAGUACUCUCCAAGCUAGAGCCCUAACAGACCCGCCCUCUUCAAAUCAGCCUUGUCCUCGAGGCUGAUGAUUCGUGAAUUCUGGGAAUUUGAUCUUCAAG